UGAGAUCAUUGUGAACACUGGUU
This 23-nucleotide microRNA is filed under the name Nautilus pompilius. RNAcentral's name for it is "Npo-Bantam_3p (mature (guide))". The record is from RNAcentral. Lineage: Eukaryota; Metazoa; Mollusca; Cephalopoda; Nautilida; Nautilidae.